UGCAGAAGCAGCCAACAACUUCCGCUCGGCUGCGACCUCUGAACUGCGACGCUAUUGGUCAACGCAGCCACGUCACCGGCCGAGCGGCCAAGGAUACAGGCUACGCUUGAGCUCGGUCUUAAACAUGUAAAAUGAUUUUAUCCUGCGCCGUGAUUAGUGGAACAGGACUCUCAGGAAAUGACUGCAUGCUUUUAGUUAAAGUCAAACCGCUCAGGCUUACCUGUUUGGAAGAAUCCAUGUUGAGUUAGUGACCAGAGAGCAGACACAGACCUGCCAGUCCGGUUCUCAUUGGCUGCGGACGUUUGAAAUUUAGAUCAUCUGUUCUCUGGCAUCAGAGGGCAAGAGGUGCAUGGACGGCAUCCUUGGUGGUUCCAAUUUCCAGCCCAUUCCCCAAUUUUCAACCCCAAUGACAGACAACACACGCUUCAAUGGCUGUUCAGCUAAAGGAGGGAACUGAAGCGGACCGUAUAAUGAUGGACUGCUGGUUUCCUGUGGUAUUGAUGCCAGCUGGCAGAGUGCAGUUAACAUACACUUCAUAAUGUAUUGAUACAUAUAUAUUAUCACAUUUACAUUGUUUUAGAAUUUGGUGUAAAGAAGGAAAAUAAAAAAA
Molecule: long non-coding RNA, 610 nt
Organism: Etheostoma spectabile (orangethroat darter)
Lineage: Eukaryota; Metazoa; Chordata; Actinopteri; Perciformes; Percidae
Exons: 4
Source: RefSeq, a predicted model, not a curated record